UACGAAGGGUGCAAGCGUUAUCCGGAUUCAUUGGGUUUAAAGGGUGCGUAGGCGGGUCUUUAAGUCAGGGGUGAAAUCCUGGAGCUCAACUCCAGAACUGCCUUUGAUACUGAGGAUCUUGAGUCCGGGAGAGGUGAGUGGAACUGCGAGUGUAGAGGUGAAAUUCGUAGAUAUUCGCAAGAACACCAGUGGCGAAGGCGGCUCACUGGCCCGGUACUGACGCUCAUGCACGAAAGCGUGGGGAGCAAACAGG
This 253-nucleotide ribosomal RNA is filed under the name uncultured bacterium. RNAcentral's name for it is "partial 16S ribosomal RNA". It matches the Rfam family "Bacterial small subunit ribosomal RNA", at positions 524 to 776 of the family's 1533-position model. The record is from RNAcentral.